Molecule: ribosomal RNA, 1115 nt
Filed under: Lambiella psephota
Lineage: Eukaryota; Fungi; Ascomycota; Lecanoromycetes; Baeomycetales; Xylographaceae
Description: SSU rRNA
Rfam family: Bacterial small subunit ribosomal RNA
Source: RNAcentral
AAANCUGACUGCUAAUCGAACGUCUAGAUUUAUCUUUUAAAUUCAACUAGAAGUGGUGUACAGGUGAGUAAUGGAUAUUAGACUGCCUUAGAGUUGGUGGAAAAAUCACUAAUAUUUAAAAGAAAUAUUUAUUUCGCUUUAAGAUGUCUCUUUUUAUCUCGGAUUGUAGUAGUUAAGGUGAUUGCUUAACUAGGUUGAUAUCCGUAGCCAAGACUGAGAGGUCUAUUGGCCACAGUGUGGCAUGAACAAAGCCCACGGUUUACUACAGCAGUGAAGAAUAUUGGUCAAUAGCCUAACGGCUGAACCAGCAACUUGGAGGAAUGUAUAGCGAAAGCUGGUUGUAUUAAUUUAAUGUUAGUGCAGCAUCGACUAUGUCGAAUAAAGUUCUAGGUAGAGUUAUGAUAAUGACAUUUUCUAUCUAUGUGUCUUGACCAAGUCACGUGCCAGCAGUCGCGGUAAUACGUGGAAGACUAGUGUUAUUCAUCUUUAAUUGGUUUAAAGGGUACCUAGACGGUUCAUUAAGCCCUUAGGGGUACUAGUAAACUAGAGUUUAAUGCGAGAGGGUGUGUACGAGAGAGUGUAGAGAUGAAAUACCGUCAUACCUUACUUGUCACAGGCAACAGCGAAAGCAACCUUUUAUGUAAAAACUGACGUUGAAGGACGAAGGCUUGGGACACCAACAGGAUUAGAUACCCCAGCAGUCCUUGCAGACAAUGAUGAAUGUCAUAGAUUAGAAUUAUAUAUCUUUUUUUAGGAUAUACUUUUAUCUAUAAAUGAAAGUGUAAGCAUUCCACCUCAAGAGUAAUGUGGCAACGCAUAAACUGAAAUCAUUAGACCGUUUCUGAAACCAGUAGUGAAGUAUGUUGUUUAAUUUGAUGGUCCGCAAAACACCUUACCACAAUUUGAAUACUUCGACACUGUCGAAGUACAAGCGUUGCACGGCUGUCUUCAGUUAAUGUCGUGAGAUUUUGGUUAGUUCCAUAAAAUUAACGUAAACCCUUGCUUUAUUUUUUUUUAUAAAGCAGUUCACCGCUUUUUUGGAUAUUGAUAAAAGGGGACUAAGACAAGUCAAUAUGGCCUUAAAUUGGGGGCUAGAACACGGCCCCAAAAAAAAC